AGCUAAUCUAAACUAAUGUAUCAUGUGCUACCAAGAGGCACACAAGUUCAUGGAUGUAUUAUUAGAGCUUGAUACUGGAUCGAAAAUGACGCCCAUUCAGUUCUACUGAGUUGCUCGCCUGGCGCAUGCGCUGAAAAAGUGGAGAAAGGUCCAGCUGCGGAACUACAAAACACGCCCACUAUAAAACACGUCUAUUACGACAUACGCCAACUAGAGGCAGCCGUCUGCCCUCAAACGUCACUAUAUCGCGGAAGAAGAUGAGCUAUCGAGUGAGUGGAAAAUGUGAGGAGAAUGCUGCUCAGGUGUCACCAUGUAGUCCACGAUCGGCAAGAAGUCGUUCACGAUCACAGAGACAUGGUCCAUGAUCGGAGAGACAUUGUUGAGGAUGAGGGAGACAUCGUCCACGAUCAGAGACAUUGUCCGUGAUCACAGAGAUCUUGUCAAAGACGAGAGAGACGUUGUCCAUGAUCAGAGACAUUGUCCAUGCUUCGUAGAGACCUUGCGAUAGAAUCGGCGGAGACGGGGGUCACCGAUUUGACGGCAUUGCCCGCGAUCAGGGACAUUGUCGAUGAUCACAGAGACACUCGUCUAUGAUCUCAGAGACAUCGUCCAUGAUCGCAAAGACGUAGUCCAUGAUCGCAGAGACAUUGUCCAUAAUCUCAGAGACAUUGUCCGCGAUCACAGAGACGUUGUCCACGAUCACAGAGAGUCUUUGUACAAUGAAGAAGUUGUUUGAGAGCAGGACAGAGGCCUCCAGGUGUCACCAUGUAGUCCACGAUCGGCAAGAAGUCGUUCACGAUCACAGAGACAUGGUCCAUGAUCGGAGAGACAUUGUUGAGGAUGAGGGAGACAUCGUCCACGAUCAGAGACAUUGUCCGUGAUCACAGAGAUCUUGUCAAAGACGAGAGAGACGUUGUCCAUGAUCAGAGACAUUGUCCAUGCUUCGUAGAGACCUUGCGAUAGAAUCGGCGGAGACGGGGGUCACCGAUUUGACGGCAUUGCCCGCGAUCAGGGACAUUGUCGAUGAUCACAGAGACACUCGUCUAUGAUCUCAGAGACAUCGUCCAUGAUCGCAAAGACGUAGUCCAUGAUCGCAGAGACAUUGUCCAUAAUCUCAGAGACAUUGUCCGCGAUCACAGAGAUGUAGUGCAAGAUCACAGAGAGUCUUUAUACAAUGAAGAAGUUGUUUGAGAGCAGGACAGAGGCCUCCAGAAGGAGAUGACAACAGCAGCUGAAGACCUGAAAUGGAUGACAGAAAAGAAGUGUUACGAUAAAAGACCUCCACCAUCUAACUGCUGUAAACAGUGUUGGUUCCCUGUUCAAGUGGAAACACUGUUUUUCUAUACCUUCUAUGAUGUAGUCAAGGGCACAUUUUCCACAGACAAAUAUGUCUAUUAAACACCUGAGAACAUUAAACUGCUUAUGAUACAACUAUUUAAUUAAUAACUGUAUCACAAGCAGUUACGUGAUCACAAAUAUGCUUAGUAGACAUGUUUAUCUUUGGAAAAUGUGCUCAUAACUAUAUAAACGCUUAACAGUUCUAUCAAGUGUUUCCUUGUGGUCAAAUGUCUGUCAUUAUCUUUGCUGUGAUUUGUUGAAUGUUGUCUGGAAUAAAAUCAUUUAGUGUCUUUCUGCACUUUUGAAUUGCAUUUCUCUAUUUUGUAACCGAUGUUAUUAAAACAUUUUAUUGCAUUUUGUUUUAAGAAAAAAUAUAAUGAUUCUCAUGUUUAAUUUUUACACCUGUUUUUAAACAUUUUCAAAAUAUAUAUUUUACAAGGUUUUUUUAUGGUUUUAUACUUAAAAGAGUUUACA
Molecule: long non-coding RNA, 1812 nt
Organism: Lates calcarifer (barramundi perch)
Lineage: Eukaryota; Metazoa; Chordata; Actinopteri; Centropomidae
Exons: 4
Source: RefSeq, a predicted model, not a curated record